UGGGGAAUAUUGCACAAUGGGCGCAAGCCUGAUGCAGCCAUGCCGCGUGUGUGAAGAAGGCCUUCGGGUUGUAAAGCACUUUCAGCGAGGAGGAAGGUGGUGACUUAAUACGUCAUCAAUUGACGUUACUCGCAGAAGAAGCACCGGCUAACUCCGUGCCAGCAGCCGCGGUAAUACGGAGGGUGCAAGCGUUAAUCGGAAUUACUGGGCGUAAAGCGCACGCAGGCGGUUUGUUAAGUCAGAUGUGAAAUCCCCGGGCUCAACCUGGGAACUGCAUUUGAAACUGGCAAGCUAGAGUCUCGUAGAGGGGGGUAGAAUUCCAGGUGUAGCGGUGAAAUGCGUAGAGAUCUGGAGGAAUACCGGUGGCGAAGGCGGCCCCCUGGACGAAGACUGACGCUCAGGUGCGAAAGCGUGGGGAGCAAACAGAUUAGAUACCCUGGUAGUCCACGCUGUAAACGAUGUCGAUUUUGGAGGUUGUGCCCUUGAGGCGUGGCUUCCGGAGCUAACGCGUUAAAGUCGACCGCCUGGGGAGUACGGCCGCAAGGUUAAAACUCAAAGUGAAUU
Molecule: ribosomal RNA, 564 nt
Filed under: uncultured bacterium
Lineage: Bacteria
Description: partial 16S ribosomal RNA
Rfam family: Bacterial small subunit ribosomal RNA
Source: RNAcentral